AUUUAAGUAGUUUAAUUUAAAACCCUUUAUUUUCGUUAAAGAAAUAUCUUCUCAAUCUUAAAUA
Molecule: transfer RNA, 64 nt
Filed under: Deltocephalinae sp. EMHAU-2015-Zz052318
Lineage: Eukaryota; Metazoa; Arthropoda; Insecta; Hemiptera; Cicadellidae
Description: tRNA-Glu
Source: RNAcentral